Molecule: long non-coding RNA, 958 nt
Organism: Dendroctonus ponderosae (mountain pine beetle)
Lineage: Eukaryota; Metazoa; Arthropoda; Insecta; Coleoptera; Curculionidae
Exons: 2
Source: RefSeq, a predicted model, not a curated record
CCCAGAAACACCUGGAAUAGACAUACGGGCUACUAUUCUGGUGAUGCGACAGACAAAAGAGAAGCGGCUGUUAAAACAGGUUGGAUGACAUUGGUUGACAGUUAUUGGUAUAAUUUAAAAAAAAAAACAAAGUUAUUGGUAUAAUAAAUAUUGCGCUUUAGCGCAAAAACACCUCAGUUAUACCAAUAAAAAGUAAAAGCUUUCAUCCGCGCCUCAGAACAUUUCUUUUGCAGUUAAGUUGCAAUCCUGUCAAUCUCAACAUAAUGCAAAUGGAUGUACCAACAAGUCAAGGCACUGAAGAGAGUAUUUAACAGUCUUAUGGCGAUGUAAAUAGAGGAACGAAUCUCCAAGGAAAGGAAUUUGUUAACAUUAUACAAGAAUAUUAAUAAAAUUCACCAUAAGGAAAGAGUUCAAUGGACUAAAUACAGAACCAACAAUAUCUUGAAUAAUAACAGAAAUGACGAAUCAAAUAAGAAAUACGAAAACGUUGGAUGAAAAAUGGGGCAAUAUUAAAACAGCUCUAAAAAAUACAUCGAGAACUGCAUACCAAAGAAAACAAGGCAGAAGAAAAAUUAUCGAAAUAGAAAAAUGAAAAAAUACAGGAAAUACAUCACACGAUUAAAAGAGAAAUAAAGAAAGCGAAUGAAACAUGGGUUAACAACAAAUGUGACGGAGUCAAAGAGCUCGAAAGAAAACACGAAACCAACUUGAGCAUCCCAUCACAAGCCAAUAACAGAUAUUAGGGCGCAACUUAGAAAGUGGAAGAAAUACGUGCUAGAAAUGCCUACAGAAGACCAACGAGACGACAAUCCAACAACCAAGGUAAGCAUCAAAAGCUUAUACUUAGAUUACAACGGAAAAAAUUAUUCGUACAGAAAAACAGCUGAAGAACAGAACAACAAACGGGGAAGAUCAUUUACCAGCGAAGAUUAAUCAACCAUUUGGCAAUCAAUACAUU